Long non-coding RNA from Oncorhynchus tshawytscha (Chinook salmon), 494 nucleotides. The record is from Ensembl. Lineage: Eukaryota; Metazoa; Chordata; Actinopteri; Salmoniformes; Salmonidae.
CGGGGUAGUACUGAAGCUAAUAGCUACAUCCAGUAUGAUGAUGUUAUGCUGUUAUAGUUUGUAUUCUCCAGACUCCUGUCAUAGUUUCCACUAAGCAAGUGUCUCUGACCUUUCCCAAAAUGGCAUGCCAGGUAUUCCUAACAUUCCUUGGCGAAGGUUGGUGAAAACUCUGUCAAGGCUCCCCUAUAAACAAGCAACUAUCCAUGUCACCGCGAAACACUGUGGAAGGCAGCCUGCAUUGCAAACAUUCUGGAGGUUCUACAGUAUACACCAGGAUUCCAUUAGACUCCUGCAUUACAAACAUUCUGGAGGUUCUACAGUAUACACCAGGAUUCCAUUGGACUCCUGCAUUACAAACAUUCUGGAGGUUCUACAGUAUACACCAGGAUUCCAUUAGACUACACCAGGAUUCCAUUAGACUCCUGCAUUACAAACAUUAUGGAGGUUCUACAGUAUACACCAGGAUUCCAUUAGACUACACCAGGAUUCCAUUA